UACGUAGGUCCCGAGCGUUGUCAGGAUUUAUUGGGCGUAAAGCGAGCGCAGGCGGUUCUUUAAGUCUGAAGUUAAAGGCAGUGGCUUAACCAUUGUACGCUUUGGAAACUGGAGGACUUGAGUGCAGAAGAGGAGAGUGGAAUUCCAUGUGUAGCGGUGAAAUGCGUAGAUAUAUGGAGGAACACCGGUGGCGAAAGCGGCUCUCUGGACUGUAACUGACACUGAGGCUCGAAAGCGUGGGUAGCAAACAGG
Molecule: ribosomal RNA, 252 nt
Filed under: uncultured microorganism
Description: partial 16S ribosomal RNA
Rfam family: Bacterial small subunit ribosomal RNA
Source: RNAcentral